GACCGCUCCGGUGGCCUAGUGGUUAGAGCGUCUGCUUCUGAUGCGGAAGGUGGGUUCGAUCCCUGGUUGAGUCA
Non-coding RNA from Potamilus streckersoni, 74 nucleotides. NCBI's taxonomy places the organism in Eukaryota, Metazoa, Mollusca, Bivalvia, Unionida, Unionidae. The record is from the annotation of a GenBank genome assembly.